This 210-nucleotide long non-coding RNA is filed under the name Capsicum annuum. RNAcentral describes it as "long non-coding RNA (CANN_LNC009968)". The record is from RNAcentral. Lineage: Eukaryota; Viridiplantae; Streptophyta; Magnoliopsida; Solanales; Solanaceae.
CCCAAUAAAGAUAAAUCUAAAACAAAGGCUAAACCCAAACUCUAUUACUCCCAACCAAAAUCUCAGUACCAAGGCUUAACUGCUCGAUCUCAACUAUCUAAAUCAAUCUUGUGGAUGGGUAGACAUCUAUACUCCAAACCUAUCAUAACCUUCAAACCGCUAUCCAAAAGAGUUAAGAUUCCAACCCUAAGUCAACAAGUCCAAACCAGG